RNAcentral lists this microRNA precursor (99 nucleotides) under Tursiops truncatus (common bottlenose dolphin). RNAcentral's name for it is "miRNA (ENSTTRG00000024776.1)". Lineage: Eukaryota; Metazoa; Chordata; Mammalia; Artiodactyla; Delphinidae. The record is from RNAcentral.
GCGGGAAGUAGUAUUUGCCCUCAAGGAGCUUACAAUCUAUUUGGGGCAAUAGACAGGCAAAUAGGCAAAUACUAUGCAGGUGACAACUUAAGGUAGGAA